RNAcentral lists this ribosomal RNA (647 nucleotides) under Vibrio cholerae. RNAcentral's name for it is "partial 23S ribosomal RNA". It matches the Rfam family "Bacterial large subunit ribosomal RNA", at positions 1 to 702 of the family's 2925-position model. Lineage: Bacteria; Pseudomonadati; Pseudomonadota; Gammaproteobacteria; Vibrionales; Vibrionaceae. The record is from RNAcentral.
GGUUAAGUGACUAAGCGUACACGGUGGAUGCCUGGGCAGUCAGAGGCGAUGAAGGACGUACUAACUUGCGAUAAGCGCAGAUAAGGCAGUAAGAGCCGUUUGAGUCUGCGAUUUCCGAAUGGGGAAACCCAACUGCAUAAGCAGUUACUGUUAACUGAAUACAUAGGUUAACAGAGCAAACCGGGGGAACUGAAACAUCUAAGUACCCCGAGGAGAAGAAAUCAACCGAGAUUCCGGUAGUAGCGGCGAGCGAACCUGGAUUAGCCCUUAAGCACUCGGUGAAGUAGGUGAACAAGCUGGAAAGCUUGGCGAUACAGGGUGAUAGCCCCGUAACCGACGCUUCAUCGAGCGUGAAAUCGAGUAGGGCGGGACACGUGAUAUCCUGUCUGAAUAUGGGGGGACCAUCCUCCAAGGCUAAAUACUCCUGACUGACCGAUAGUGAACCAGUACCGUGAGGGAAAGGCGAAAAGAACCCCUGUGAGGGGAGUGAAAUAGAACCUGAAACCGUGUACGUACAAGCAGUAGGAGCACCUUCGUGGUGUGACUGCGUACCUUUUGUAUAAUGGGUCAGCGACUUAUAUUCAGUGGCAAGGUUAACCGUAUAGGGGAGCCGUAGCGAAAGCGAGUCUUAACUGGGCGCUCAGUCU